RNAcentral lists this transfer RNA (93 nucleotides) under Candidatus Acetothermia bacterium. Its description in RNAcentral is "tRNA-Ser". It matches the Rfam family "tRNA". From Rfam's summary of the family: Transfer RNA (tRNA) molecules are approximately 80 nucleotides in length. Their secondary structure includes four short double-helical elements and three loops (D, anti-codon, and T loops). The record is from RNAcentral. Lineage: Bacteria; Candidatus Bipolaricaulota. RNAcentral also lists the same sequence under 2 other names.
GGAGGGGUAGUCAAGAGGUCCAAGACAACGGUUUGCUAAACCGUCGACGGGUUCAUAGCUCGUCCGCGAGUUCGAAUCUCGCCCCCUCCGCCA